UGAGGAAUUUUCGGCAAUGGGGGCAACCCUGACCGAGCAACGCCGCGUGCAGGACGAAGGUCUUCGGAUCGUAAACUGCUUUUACCAGGGAAGAGAACGGACGGUACCUGGAGAAUAAGUCCCGGCUAACUACGUGCCAGCAGCCGCGGUAAUACGUAGGGGGCGAGCGUUAUCCGGAUUUAUUGGGCGUAAAGGGCACGCAGGCGGUCCCGCAAGUGUGGGGUAAAAGCUCCUGGCUUAACUAGGAGAGGACUCAACAAACUGCAGGACUUGAGAGCGAGAGAGGGACACGGAAUUCCGGGUGGAGCAGUGAAAUGCGUAGAUAUCCGGAGGAACACCAAAGGCGAAGGCAGUGUCCUGGCUCGUUUCUGACGCUCAGGUGCGAAAGCCAGGGGAGCGAACG
RNAcentral lists this ribosomal RNA (403 nucleotides) under uncultured Ktedonobacterales bacterium. RNAcentral's name for it is "partial 16S ribosomal RNA". It matches the Rfam family "Bacterial small subunit ribosomal RNA", at positions 355 to 774 of the family's 1533-position model. Lineage: Bacteria; Bacillati; Chloroflexota; Ktedonobacteria; Ktedonobacterales. The record is from RNAcentral.